GACAGAGGUGCCAAGCGUUAGGCGGAAUCACUGGGCUUAAAGCGUGUGUAGGCGGAUCGUUAAGUACCUUGUGAAAUCCCACGGCUCAACCGUGGAACUGCUCGGUAUACUGGCGGUCUUGAGCCACCUAGGGGCAUCUGGAACUAGCGGUGGAGCGGUGAAAUGCGUUGAUAUCGCUAGGAACUCCGGUGGCGAAGGCGAGGUGCUGGACCCUUUCUGACGCUGAGGCGCGAAAGCCAGGGGAGCGAACGGG
This 253-nucleotide ribosomal RNA is filed under the name uncultured bacterium. Its description in RNAcentral is "partial 16S ribosomal RNA". It matches the Rfam family "Bacterial small subunit ribosomal RNA", at positions 524 to 776 of the family's 1533-position model. The record is from RNAcentral.